AAGCAUCCCACACAGGAGCGGGAAGUGAGGCCAUUCCCACCUGAGCGGUGUGCCUGAGGGAGAGGGGUUGUGUAACGGACAGCGUCUCAUGCACAAAAGUCAAUAGUUGUGUUGUAAUCAGGAUCACAGCAGGUGAGGUUCCAGAAUCAAAUGUUGUGCAAGCACCUAGGAGCCUUGUAAAUAGAGGCUCCUUCCACCUGCAGCAGCCUCGCUGGGUCCCAGUCUCGGAGCAGCUCCUCAUCUUCUCCUGCUGCUCAGGGUCCAGCCGGCAUUCACCAUGCGGUGUCUCUGCUUCGUGCUCCUGACCUGCUUCAUCCUCUUUCCUCACUUUGGCCCAGAUUUUUCCUCUCCACAGCCUCCACCCAGCGCAUAGACUCAGAAGAGGAGUGCGAGCGGGUUGGUGCCCAGUGUAAAUGGUUUGCUUGCCCAGAAGAUCAUGAACGUCUUGGUUCCUGUUGGUUUGGGAUAAAGAAAUGCUGUCUGCGUGGAUGGUGGGCUGAAGGACAUGGGUGGACAAGGAGCCCAGAGAUUUAAAUAAAGGGCUGACUAUAACUCUGAAAGUGCUGUGAUAUUAUUUCCUGAAAAUAAAGAAACAACCCAUGCUGCAUUUAAGAAAGUGA
This 620-nucleotide long non-coding RNA is filed under the name Equus asinus (donkey). Its description in RNAcentral is "lncRNA (ENSEASG00005037926.1)". Lineage: Eukaryota; Metazoa; Chordata; Mammalia; Perissodactyla; Equidae. The record is from RNAcentral.